AUAAGGACUCCUAGACUAAUACUAAUAGACUAAUAAGGACUCCUAGACUAAUACUAAUACUUCCUAACAUUGCCAUGAUGAGAACUCAAAAUGAUGGUCAUAUUUAUUUCUCUCUGAACACAUUUCUGAUCAACAGCAAUGUAGGAUUGCACUCAAUGUGCCCCUGAAGCCCAGUCAGUUUUCUGACCCAAAUGCUUGGAAAAGAUCAUGCACUUCUACUAACUAAUAUGGCUGCAAAUCCAGAGGAACCCUUGAGGUGCUGGUGAUGAAGAUUCGGUUGUGGAGCCAAUGGUGAUGAUGUUCUGGUCCUGCUGCUGGAAGAAACAUUACUGCAGCUCUUAAGAUUAUAGGUUUAUCAGGUCACCUGUCAAGCCAGCAGUUAUCGAAGCCUGUUUCUCUGUGAAGGUCGGGUGUGGGGGAGCUGCAGGUUUGUAUAAAGGUACUUCCGCUAUAACUGAAUGAAUGCAGUUGUGUGUACUUCAGAAGAUACCAGAUUGAAGGGGGGAAUCUUCAUUGAACUGAUUUCAUUUGGUGAAAUAACUCACUGAAUCAAAUAUCACAUGUCUGACCUCCGAUUUCUUUUUCUUCAGUCAUGAUGCGUUUUUUUAGUGAUGUUUAGAUACUCGGUGCAUAUUUUUGUUAAGGAAUUCAAGAGAAUUUACCGA
Hordeum vulgare subsp. vulgare (domesticated barley) is the source of this 665-nucleotide long non-coding RNA. RefSeq lists it as uncharacterized. The transcript is spliced from 2 exons. The record is from RefSeq and is a predicted model, not a curated record. Lineage: Eukaryota; Viridiplantae; Streptophyta; Magnoliopsida; Poales; Poaceae.